RNAcentral lists this ribosomal RNA (408 nucleotides) under Actinomycetes bacterium. RNAcentral describes it as "Actinobacteria bacterium partial 16S ribosomal RNA". It matches the Rfam family "Bacterial small subunit ribosomal RNA", at positions 355 to 776 of the family's 1533-position model. The record is from RNAcentral. Lineage: Bacteria; Bacillati; Actinomycetota; Actinomycetes.
UGGGGAAUAUUGCACAAUGGGCGGAAGCCUGAUGCAGCGACGCCGCGUGGGGGAUGAAGGCCUUCGGGUUGUAAACUCCUUUCGACAGGGACGAAGCUUUUGUGACGGUACCUGUAUAAGAAGCACCGGCUAACUACGUGCCAGCAGCCGCGGUAAUACGUAGGGUGCGAGCGUUGUCCGGAAUUACUGGGCGUAAGAGCUCGUAGGUGGUUUGUCGCGUCGUCUGUGAAAUUCCGGGGCUUAACUCCGGGCGUGCAGGCGAUACGGGCUGACUUGAGUGCUGUAGGGGAGACUGGAAUUCCUGGUGUAGCGGUGAAAUGCGCAGAUAUCAGGAGGAACACCGAUGGCGAAGGCAGGUCUCUGGGCAGUAACUGACGCUGAGGAGCGAAAGCAUGGGUAGCGAACAGG